RNAcentral lists this ribosomal RNA (95 nucleotides) under Moniliella fonsecae. RNAcentral describes it as "partial large subunit ribosomal RNA". It matches the Rfam family "Eukaryotic large subunit ribosomal RNA", at positions 1 to 90 of the family's 3401-position model. The record is from RNAcentral. Lineage: Eukaryota; Fungi; Basidiomycota; Moniliellomycetes; Moniliellales; Moniliellaceae.
UAAUUCAACCUCAGAUCAGGUAGGACUACCCGCUGAACUUAAGCAUAUCAAUAAGCGGAGGAAGAGAAACAAACAUGGAUUCCCCUAGUAGCGGC